ACUGCUGAUGGUGUUAAUGGACUUAAUUCCCUCUUUGUCUUUGGCUUUCAAGAAAAGAAGAAGAAUACAAAUAGAAUGUUUGUGGGAGCACAGAGCCGUGGUGGGAGCUAUAGAAGAGUUAAACAGUCUGUUCCAAAUGUGUGAAAUAUUUGAGGCCAGAGCCAGCCUUCAUAACCACACAUAUGCAAGUUUUGCUUGUGCAGGUGUUAACCUGCCAUCAGCAACAAUCUCAGGAUCAUCGCUUGGAUAAAAAGAAUCCCAUUGCUUUGGAAAAAACUACCGAUGUCAAUCGAGUUACGGAUCUCUCUGUUUCUCCUUUCUUUAAAUGUCAUCGUGUCCUACGCCCAUGCCACGUGAAUUUGGGGAUAUUCACGAGGACACCCUUUUUCCUAUAUUCCGUCUGGCGUAAUUUAACUCUUCAGCGGAUGGAUGGAGCAACUGUAGAUGCCUGGCUGUAUUUCCCAGGCAUAUAAAGGGGGAAAUUCUUCCAAUCUCCAAGGGUUGUUGAUGCAAUGCCCUCCGGCACAUCUCGACAUGGCGGUAUACUGUGUGUGAAUACAGAGAUUAGGUACUACACCAUCUGAUCUUAAUCAUCCGCUGUAACAUCUUAUAAAUAAUAACCAUUUGAUUGGAUUCUUUUGGGGGCCACAAUUACCUUUCAAUCACCGGCAAUGAUCCAUCAAUAAUCUAUAAGAAACACGGGAGACUCGCCCCACAAUGGGGAGGAUUCUCAUUCCACAAUAACAAUAUAACAAUGCGCCAAGCUGUUAUGAAGUAGUAUAAGAAGAAUAUCAAUUUUCUAUUUGAUACUAUUUUCACGGUUCGUUUAGUUCAAGAAGAAUAGGUUGCUGGAUUAUACAAGUCUUUGUCUACUAUUUGGCCGGAAACGAAACAGAAGGAGAACAUUCGUUUUUCGUCUCUAAGAAUUCCAACGUCAUUUCAGCGGGGGCAUUCCUUAAUCAUUUCUCGGAAUAAACACAAGUCUAGAAUUGAAUUGAGGAAAUGUAUCAUUUCGGCUUGACGUUGUGUAUUUCGCCACAAUGGGGAAUAAACCGCACACACAAUGACGCACGUUGCUUUGAUAUAAAUUUAGUUCAUCCAUCGGUUGAGGCCGGGUGACGACGACAUUUGAAUGAGAAAAUGAAAAUCGCCCACAGGCGAUUGAAUCAUUAUUAUAGCCGGCUGAACAAAAAAAAUAAUAAUCAAAAAAUUCUUUCGCCGCUGUUGGUGGUGCUGUGCUGCGCUUUGAUUAUCAUACGCGUUGCGUGUUUUGUCCGUCUAUGAAUUUAACAUGACGUCAUUUUCAUUUGCGCUGGU
RNAcentral lists this long non-coding RNA (1317 nucleotides) under Daphnia pulicaria. Its description in RNAcentral is "uncharacterized LOC124314960, transcript variant X1". Lineage: Eukaryota; Metazoa; Arthropoda; Branchiopoda; Diplostraca; Daphniidae. The record is from RNAcentral.